Coturnix japonica (Japanese quail) is the source of this 1003-nucleotide long non-coding RNA. Lineage: Eukaryota; Metazoa; Chordata; Aves; Galliformes; Phasianidae. The record is from Ensembl.
GUCCCUUCAGUGCUGCAGUGAGUGGUGUUUCACUGAGAUGUUGCUGGGUUUAUUUUCCCAGCUCAGCUUCUGGGUUUGCAGACUGAAGCAGAAAGAUAACCCAGCAAACAAUUCAUAAAUACCAGUCGCUUUUCAGGACAGAAGCAGUUUCCACGUCUGCCACAGCUGCUGCAUAAGCCCAACAGCUCCUAAAUUGGAAUCUACCUUCUCUGUCCUGGAACACAUUGCUUUGAUCUCUUUGGACAAUAACUGAGCUCAGGGGGCCCCAAAAAACCCCAAGUCACAGAGCUUAAACUUUUUAUCACAACCAUCCAGAGGAAAGUCUCUAACUUCUUGGCACCUACACAAAUGUACUGUGAAGUAGCCACUGUGGCAUGGAGAAGUUGUUUUGCCUCAGGAAAAGUUAGUGAGAAGAUUGCAGAAUAUCUCUAGGCACCCAGAAGAUGCCUGCAAUAAUAUUUCCUUGGAGAACCACGUAAGCCAUUCCUCCCCAUAACGAAUUACAUUCCAGAUAAGCUGUUGUCAGAAUGAACUCUCAUCAAGGAAAGACAGAAGUUGAGUAGCAAGGUAGAGAUCUUGAAUUGCCCAAGACUGAAGAAAUGUCAGGAAAAACAAUGAAAGCCAUUAGCCUGAUGUUCCUCCUGUGGCAUAUUGAAAAAGCAGGGCACUAUCCCCAGUGUUCCAGCACCAGUGAGACAAGAGGAGGCAGCCACCAUCCCUGUGGAUCGACUACAGUCUUUAAAUCUGCCCUUUGUCAUCGGUAACAUAAUCCAGUAACAGAUAGUAGAUAGGAGGUUAAUAUAACAAUACCACCUCACACUCUGUUCUCUAUAUUGCUGAACAUUUAUUUUUUUUAAAUAAUAUAUUCCAGUCACGGGAAUUUGUCUAAUUAUCAUUGCAGAUCAAUUUCGAGUUAGUAGCAGUGCCACAAGCUCUGAAGAAGCAAGAAGUCACGUUUUCUCUAUAGCAAGCCAAGGAUCAAAUAAAUACAAUGCCUGGUUCA